Molecule: long non-coding RNA, 6278 nt
Organism: Struthio camelus australis
Lineage: Eukaryota; Metazoa; Chordata; Aves; Struthioniformes; Struthionidae
Source: RefSeq, a predicted model, not a curated record
GCUCCAAGUCCUUUGGCCGCUGCAGACGGUCGUUCACGUCGGGCAUUGCGCCUCGCUUGGCUUGCUUAACAGUAGAUCAGUGACUGGUAGGAGACAACUGGCAUUCACCUCGGUCUCCCGCAGGCAGGGCUUGACAGUUGUAAAGAUGACUUGGGCAUGUUGCACGUAAAAAUGUUAGCUAACAAUUUAUCCCUGAUUUUCUUCAGCCUAAUGCUUGAGAAACGCAGAACUCCUGAGGGUAUAGGUGUUUGUGGGUGCGUAGGCUUAGGCUCAAAGAUCUUUGCACUAUUUCCUGCUUGUUCAAGUUUCAGACUUUCACUGAUGCUCUGCUCUACAGUUAGGGCUUGCCCUACUCUAUUCAGGGCUGACAAUGUAAGUUUGAGUAAUCCUAAAAUGAUGCACAAUACGAAAAAUAUUUCAACAGGCUUUAAGAUAUAUAUGUAUAAAAUGAAUUGUGAAUCAACGUGUUAAUUAAAUGCCCCUAACAGGAUGGAUUUCGGCUGGCUUAGGGAGAUUUCUCUGAACAGGGGAAAGAAAACCAUUGUUUUCGAUGACCGAAUCUCAGCAGCUUGCCUGAUCUUGUAAAAGACAUUCCUUAAACCUAUAGAUGCAGCAGCCUGCAUGCUUUUAAAAGGGAUUCUCACACUCCUAAAUUCCUCCUGCACUGACUAAGCAGCAUCUUUCAAAUAUUCUUUUAGUCCAAGUAUGAACAUUGCUCUCAAAGAGCUACCGUCUUCUGAAACCUUUCCCAGUCUUGCACCAUCACCUCUGUAGAAAGCCCCUGUGUACACGCCGAAGGAACAUGAGCGCAGACAAUGCAUGCUCGGACAUUUCCUUAAUGAAGUCAUAGUUCCCACUAACUCCCUCAAGAUAUGAAGUGCCUCAAGCCAUGUGCUGGCACAGCCUGACUCAUCAUGUGAUACACUUCAUUGUAAGUCCAGAUGAAUUUAAACAAGUUUUGAAGACAAUCCAAGUAUUUUCAGGAACAGGAUGUCUGACCUCUAGUCACACUUGCCCCAUAGCAAUACAGAAAUUCUCCUCACUGACCGCCUCCUGCUGCAGGACUGUGCCCUCUGCAAGCCCCGAGUUCAGAAGGAAGCAGCACUACAGUGAUAAAAAACACAGUUAACAGGAAAAUUGGCUCUCCUACAGCUUGCUUCCAGGAACACUAUCAGAGAUUGCAAGGCAGGUCUAGAGCAAAGGCUACAAAAAAAAGAUAACAAAUAUAUUUUUCUUCUGGGCUACAAGAGCCUACCAACACCACUGAAGGCAUUUCACCGUGGAAAUUCCCACAGGUGUCAGAAAUAGAAACACAAGCUAGAGAGAAGUCAGCAAGCAAUACAAAAGUCUCCAAAGUGCCCAGGGCAUCACAUCCCGACUCCAGUGAAAGAAGAGAGCUCCACACCCACCGCCGACCGGGAAAACCCUCCCACUGAAAACCGCAGACCUGCGAAACGUAAUGCUCGAACGCACGAAGAUCACCUCUGCACGGCCUCGCUAGCAGUGAGGAUCAGUUCCUCCUCAGCUAGGCGCUUGGACCCGAGCGCCACCGGGAGCUGGGAUCGCAGGUAGCCACAGGCAGAGGUUAUCGUCAGCUCCGCUGGGCUGAGAGCUGCUGUAUCUACAAGGCCUGAUGAUCUAGUUAAGUGAAACGAAAUCCUACUUUUGAGACACGAGUCCUGAAAGAAUGAAGUGCCUUUCUCCUAAAUACAACAAGUUAUGUCUCCAUCAUCCUGAUCCUGAAAGAACCUGAAAAAUUUAACUAGACUAAACCAAGAAGGACCCACGUGGUUGGAGAGCUCUAACUCCCCCAUCUGAACUGAAUAUUCUUCUCAUCACCUGCAACAGAUUGGCAGCCCCCAUGACCCCAACAUAUUCUUUCCCAUUGUUACUUCUUCCUGCUUCGCAUCUCCGUUUAUGCUUUUAACUACAACGGCACUGCCAGCCAAGCUGCAACUUUCACAGUGCCGUGGGAAGCCUAUGUUUUGAAAGGAAGGUCCAAAAUGACCCAAGCAGCCUGAUGGAGAGACAGCUCUGGCAGGUCCUGGAGGAGAAGAAAAAGAGCUUCUGGAGACCAAAUCACGCAUCACAAGAGCAAGUGAUUGAAAUGAACAAUGUGUCAUCAGCUUAUAAAUUCAUACCUGCUUAUACAGAAUGCCAAAUUCUUCUUAAGUGUAAAUGUUAAUUUGUUAAGGGAUCAGUAUUUCUGACUCAUGUAAACUGUGAAAUAAAUAAAACACUACAUCAUUGGAGCGCAAAAAUAUCAGUAGACACAUUACAAAAAACUAAACUCUGAGACGUUGGAGAGUUGGGAAAUUUAACGUGGCUCUAUGCAAGUAGGAGGGAAAGGCAGAUGCAAAAAGCGGUGGACUGCUGCAGUCACAGAUGGGCCUCUGCCAGUGGGAGCUUUCAUAGCUGCGUGCUGGAGCGGUGGCGACAACAUGCUGUGCUACGGGUGCGUUCCUCGUUAAGGACUCAGGUAUUCCUUUUCCAAGGGCGCUAGGAGUAGAGGUGAUUCUUUAUCAUGGGAAACGCAACCGAACUGGAUAGUGCAAGUAAAGGCCCUACAGGAUCAGCUAACGGAAUAUAGGCACAACACAUGGUUUUACUGGAUCUGGGUAAAUCAUGUAUCACUUCUCCAACUUGAGAAUAUUGAUCUAAAGAUCACACUAUCUGUGUGCGUGUGCGCACAUACAAUACAUAUAUGUACACUUUUAUCAAGUCUUUCUGACACUGAAAUAAUUAUAAUAAAGCCACAUUUUAAUACUCUAAAGAUAGAUGUUUAUUGAGUUGCUGAAAAAUACAAAUAUUCAAAUGUGUCACAUUUAAAUAUUAGCUAAAAAACUACAGAAGUUCCACAUACAGUCUAGUUGUUCCACUUCCGCACUAUAAUGAAAACUAUGUUAAGAUGAUACAAAGUUAAAGAUUUAACAAUCACCUGUGAAUUCCAAAAAAGUUAACAUGUUCUAAUUCUUCUUAUACUGCCCUGACUAUUAGCUAUAAGCUAUUGUGCAGAGUUACACGUUAUGCAGUCCUGAAGGCAGUGCUACGACUGCUAGAACUAGAUAUUAAUAUUAUAAUCUACUCUUUGGCUAUAUAAUUAGGACAUUAUUAGUAUGAGAUUUCCAUUACUAGCAUGAGGCCUAACUAAUUAAAUAGAAAUAAUUAUGUACACAUUUUGUAAAUAGGUUUACUGUGCUCAAGUCAUGGCAAUAUUAAGCAUCUUAUAAGCUUUUGAAAAUAUUCCUUGAGGGGUUCUAACAGCCAUUUGGGUGAUACUUUUAGCCAGUUUAUUCAGCCAGAGUAUUUGAUUAAUAUAAGUUUAAAUAUAGUAUCACAAAUAUGAGGAUUAUGUGAAACGAUGGGGAAAGAGUUGAAAAAUACUUUGAUAUUUCAACCUUCAUACAAUUUUAACAAACUAAAGAGUAUCAGAACAGCAUAGCUACUCUGGGCCACUAUAGCCAUAUCCAUCACUGGUGUAGAUAUAUCUUAAUUGUCAAGGAUAAUUAAAAGGCUAAAGGCAUGGCAAUGCAUCUUAACUAAUGCAAAAGAGCAGGUGGAAAUACUGAGACAUACACUUGUUCUGCAAGCUGGACAGUGAAGAACGUAAAAGCAGACACAGCAUGGGAAUGAGAAUGUGCAUCGUAGGUACCUGACGGACUACAGUAGGAAACACAGGAGAUUUCAACCUUGAACAGAAAGCAAGAGUUCUGUAUUGCAGCAGUUCACCAUCUUUGACGAAGGAAAUGCAAGUGGAACACGCUCCGUGUGACGCGAAAAAAUGGAAUCGCACUCAGCAAGUCCUGUAAAAACUAAAGACUACUCCUGCAGUGUCACUGGGUGGAGGAAGUAUUGUAAUAAAGAUCUAUAAAAUGUAUUCACUGUUAGCCAUCCUCAAAUCUUGCUGGAACCUAUGCAGUCUCCCCGCCGCAGAUGCCUUUACCAAGGCAGAAGUUUUGUAAGCUAUCUACUCUUUGUUAACAGAUGAAGUUUGCCAUGUUACAAAACUUUUAACAGGUGAGGAUACAGCUCAGACAAGGACCUUGCUUAACCAAAUUAUCAGCAGUUGAUAGUACAAACACAAAGGAACAUACUCAUUUGUGCUACCCUGAUCAAAACUUCCAGGCUUAAAAAAAAAAAAAAAAAAAACAACAACCCGCAAAACUUAAAGGAUUCUCAAUUUCUCUCCAAAUGUCUCUACAAAGGAAGUUACAGACCUUUUGCUUAUAACAUUUCCAUUAUCCAACAGUGACCUUCCCAGGAAGGUGACCAAGGACCAAUGGGGAUCUCAUGGGUCAUGGAGUACAGUCCCCACAAGAAGCAUGACAUGGUACCAUUCCAUUUGUAGACCCCCAAAAACCUUUUCAUAAGAGGAAAGCUUUCUUUAGACUAGGAACUGAACAACAGAUUCACAGAAUAUCUAAACCACAAAACUUCCAGCUCUAACUACAAAAAUGUUCCAACUAUUUAGAGGCCUUCUUCAAGGGACGUUACUCACUUUCUUUGCAAUGCUGUUCUUCAAUUUCUGUUUUAUAAAGUCUCAAAUUGUGCUUCAUUAGAAAAAAAAGGACUGCUAGGUAGGUGCAGGUGCAGCCUCACAGGGAAAAAGCAACUGUGCAAAAGAGAAUCUUUUAUUUUCAGUAUUCAGGUCUUUAUAGUUCUGCAGAAGAUGCUGAAGUAAACAAUGACAUUUAGAUUAAAAGAAGUCAAUACAUCCUGUAUUUUAACCUACGUUUGUGUAAUCUGCUCAAACUGCAGCUUGUGCCAAAAAAAUGGCAGCUUUGUUUCCCUAAGACCCGAUUUAGCAUUUAAUGACACUAAACAAUGCAAAAUGUGAUCAUUACUAUCACUAGAUCCAACCCAGGGAAUGAAAGGGAAGCAGAUCAGCUCUAUCAGUAGAAGUUUUCAUACUGGAUUAAGCUUAUAAUGAAACUACACUCCUAAGAGAGCAUUAGCAAGAUUCAGAAAAAGGUAUUGUUCCAAACACAUUGGCUGAAAGACAUCGGGUGGUUCUCCUGUAGGUAAGACAGGAAAGCGUGCAAAUGAAUAAAGACCCUGCUACAAGUGAAGGCACCUUUGUCCUCACGUAUUCUCAACACUGACUUGUCUGUUGGUCAAACAGAAGACUUAAUACACUCCACACAGAAAAGUGUCCUAUAUUUUCCCGGAAUAACAGUUAACAUUUCUUUUUUUUUGUCACAGUAAGAGAACAUAAUUCCUGAUAUGUAAUUAGGCAGGUCACUUAUCCCUCAAAACGCCAGCAAAGACAUUUGAAAGAACAUACAACAAGUUCUCAUUAACUUGUUUUACCACAACUAUGGAGAAACUGAAAAAAGAUCAAAUUGAAUAACUUGACUACGUUAAAGGUAUGAAACGGUUUGUAUUUUAUACAGAGAGUAUGUACACUGGUUUUGGAAAUGUGGGUUUUAUCCAUGCAAAUUCAAUACAAAAAACUAUUUACAAAAAAUAAUAGUAGGAACAUUUUUUCAAAAGAAACAUAUACAUGUUGGAAGCUCCAGCAAUAAUGGAAGUCCUGAAAAAAGACUUAAGAUAACAGUAUUGUACAGGUAGACAAUCCUCAGAAGUAUGGAAAAUACACUUUACAAGAACAUGAAAUGCAAAAUGAACUAAAAUGCACUAUCAAAUAGAUGUCAUAAGUAUAUAUACAAUUUAAUAAUCUUAUUAAAUGAUCACUCUCCAGCUGUGCCUCAGAACCAUUUCUGUCAUGUCUUGCACACAUAUACACAUUGAUCAUUUGGAUACAUUGCGUUUUCUGAGUUUUAUAAUCACGAGUUACAAAAUAAAAUAACUGAAUACCAACUGAGUGAGAAUUGUAAAGCAAUUACGUUUUCCUUGUUCUACACAUUAUACAACAGUAAAAAGUAUUCACAUUAUUCCCUUCAUAAUACACCUCAUAACCUUUUUGCAGUGCCUACACAUGCCCUUCAUGGACACUGCAAACAGCUGCAUUAACUAUUGGUGGAACUGACAUUAACAGUUGCAACCCAGGAAUUCCCACAGUUGCAGUAACGUUUCCCGUAACACACAGAUUCAGUAAACAGAACUCUGUUAACAGAACUCUGUUAACAUUUGCAUAUGCAAAGCCCAAUCUUGCACAUGCUCCAGAAAGAUUAACAACACUGAACAAUGGAAGUUUCCAUGCCAGCAACAGCGCAACCAAAUCCUAAACAAAUUCUGGAACGAUUUCCCUAGUUCACUCCAAUUUAAAAACAAAGCAAAACUAAAAAGUGUUUUCAGACUUAUUUCCAAAGAGUAGC